Molecule: long non-coding RNA, 413 nt
Organism: Physeter macrocephalus (sperm whale)
Lineage: Eukaryota; Metazoa; Chordata; Mammalia; Artiodactyla; Physeteridae
Exons: 3
Source: RefSeq, a predicted model, not a curated record
CACGCACGCACGUCCUCGGCUGCCCCCGGCCACCCCCACCGGCCCGACGUGGGGACCCGGGGAGACCCCUCGGGGCCUGCGGUGGAGAUUGUCAAUGCCGCGGCGUCGGUGGGCCUUGUCAAUCAGUUGAAGGACGAGAGAAAAAUGAGUUUCCGUUGAAAGAAGGAACUGUUCCUCCAAUGGCCUUCGGACAUCAGCUCUGCCCUGUGUCUCCAGCCCAGAGUCCUGCCCUGACUUGCCUGCCGCACAGUCACGAUGGCUCACAGACAGCUGCUCCCACCCGCCACCAUUCGAUGGAUGUCACAGCAAGCCCUGGGGACUUCCCUGGAGGUCCAGUGAUUAAGACUCCGAGCUUCCACUGCAGGAGGCACGGGUUCGAUCCCUGGUCAGGGAGAUAAGAUCCCACAUGCCGC